GAUGAACGCUGGCGGCGUGCCUAAUACAUGCAAGUCGAGCGAACAGACGAGGAGCUUGCUCCUCUGACGUUAGCGGCGGACGGGUGAGUAACACGUGGAUAACCUACCUAUAAGACUGGGAUAACUUCGGGAAACCGGAGCUAAUACCGGAUAAUAUAUUGAACCGCAUGGUUCAAUAGUGAAAGACGGUUUUGCUGUCACUUAUAGAUGGAUCCGGGCCGGAUUAGCUAGUUGGUAAGGUAACGGCCUACCAAGGCGACGAUGCGUAGCCGACCUGAGAGGAGGAUCAGCCACACUGGAACUGAGACACGGUCCAGACUCCUACGGGAGGCAGCAGUGGGGAAUAUUGGACAAUGGGCGAAAGCCUGAUCCAGCAAUGCCGCGUGUGUGAAGAAGGUCUUCGGAUUGUAAAGCACUUUAAGUUGGGAGGAAGGGCAGUAAGUUAAUACCUUGCUGUUUUGACGUUACCAACAGAAUAAGCACCGGCUAACUUCGUG
RNAcentral lists this ribosomal RNA (497 nucleotides) under uncultured bacterium. Its description in RNAcentral is "partial 16S ribosomal RNA". It matches the Rfam family "Bacterial small subunit ribosomal RNA", at positions 28 to 507 of the family's 1533-position model. The record is from RNAcentral.